GGGAAUGUAGUUAAAAAUAACAUUUAAUUUGCAAUUAAAAGGUAUCAUAAUGAUCUUUCUCA
This 62-nucleotide transfer RNA is filed under the name Phallospinophylus setosus. RNAcentral's name for it is "tRNA-Ala". It matches the Rfam family "tRNA". From Rfam's summary of the family: Transfer RNA (tRNA) molecules are approximately 80 nucleotides in length. Their secondary structure includes four short double-helical elements and three loops (D, anti-codon, and T loops). Lineage: Eukaryota; Metazoa; Arthropoda; Insecta; Hemiptera; Miridae. The record is from RNAcentral.